This 26-nucleotide unclassified non-coding RNA is filed under the name Mus musculus (house mouse). RNAcentral describes it as "oocyte_clustered_small_RNA3610". The record is from RNAcentral. Lineage: Eukaryota; Metazoa; Chordata; Mammalia; Rodentia; Muridae.
UCGGCCUUUAGCUCCACCACAACCAG